CAGUAGCCGCGGUAAUACGAGGGGGGCAAGCGUUGUUCGGAAUUACUGGGCGUAAAGGGCGCGUAGGCGGCCAUUCAAGUUAGAUGUGAAAGCCCUGGGCUCAACCUAGGAAUUGCAUUUGAUACUGUUUGGCUUGAGUUCGGGAGAGGUGAGUGGAAUUCCCAGUGUAGAGGUGAAAUUCGUAGAUAUUGGGAAGAACACCAGUGGCGAAGGCGGCUCACUGGACCGACACUGACGCUGAGGCGCGAAAGCGUGGGGAGCAAACAGGAUUAGAUACCCCAGUAGUCCCUGUCUCUUAUAC
Molecule: ribosomal RNA, 301 nt
Filed under: uncultured bacterium
Lineage: Bacteria
Description: partial 16S ribosomal RNA
Rfam family: Bacterial small subunit ribosomal RNA
Source: RNAcentral